Molecule: ribosomal RNA, 524 nt
Filed under: uncultured bacterium
Lineage: Bacteria
Description: partial 16S ribosomal RNA
Rfam family: Bacterial small subunit ribosomal RNA
Source: RNAcentral
GACGAACGCUGGCGGCGUGCUUAACACAUGCAAGUCGAACGAGACGAUUGAAAGCUUGCUUUCGAAAGUCGAGUGGCAAACGGGUGAGUAACGCGUAGACAACCUGCCUUUGAGAUGGGGACAACAGUUCGAAAGGACUGCUAAUACCGAAUGUUGUAUAUUUUCCACAUGGAAGAUAUAUUAAAGAUGGCCUCUAUUUAUAAGCUAUCGCUCAAAGAUGGGUCUGCGUCUGAUUAGCUAGGUGGUGGGGUAACGGCCUAGCAAGGCGACGAUCAGUAGCCGGUCGGAGAGGAUGAACGGCCACAUUGGGACUGAGACACGGCCCAGACUCCUACGGGAGGCAGCAGUGGGGAAUCUUCCACAAUGGACGAAAGUCUGAUGGAGCAACGCCGCGUGAGUGAAGAAGGGUUUCGGCUCGUAAAGCUCUGUUGUCGGGGACGAAUGUGCAGUAUUUGAAUAAAGUACUGUAAUGACGGUACCUGACGAGGAAACCACGGCUAACUACGUGCCAGCAGCCGCCGUAA